Molecule: ribosomal RNA, 445 nt
Filed under: uncultured organism
Description: partial 16S ribosomal RNA
Rfam family: Bacterial small subunit ribosomal RNA
Source: RNAcentral
ACUCCUGCGGGAGGCAGCAGUGGGGAAUAUUGGACACUGGGCGCAAGCCUGAUCCAGCCAUGCCGCGUGAGUGAUGAAGGCCCUAGGGUUGUAAAGCUCUUUCACCGGUGAAGAUAAUGACGGUAACCGGAGAAGAAGCCCCGGCUAACUUCGUGCCAGCAGCCGCGGUAAUACGAAGGGGGCUAGCGUUGUUCGGAUUUACUGGGCGUAAAGCGCACGUAGGCGGACUAUUAAGUCAGGGGUGAAAUCCCGGGGCUCAACCCCGGAACUGCCUUUGAUACUGGUAGUCUUGAGUUCGAGAGAGGUGAGUGGAAUUCCGAGUGUAGAGGUGAAAUUCGUAGAUAUUCGGAGGAACACCAGUGGCGAAGGCGGCUCACUGGCUCGAUACUGACGCUGAGGUGCGAAAGCGUGGGGAGCAAACAGGAUUAGAAACCCUUGUAGUCCC